ACGUAGUAUUGUAUACGUUCUUCUUUUAGUAGACGAGCCGGGCGACGCUACACCGAGAGGUUCUGCAAGCCAAAUCAAGUCGCCCCGAUUCCCAGGUUAUAUGUUACCUCUAUACUCUAGCCCUGUGUGUAACAACGAAAGAGAACAAAUGCUCAAGCAGCAUGGGAGGGUGUUGAACCAAGGAAUAGAGCGGACAGACCUCAGAUCUCAGAUCUCAGGAUCGCGAUAAGGGGCAACAGAGAGGAGGCGCCAAUACUGAUGAAAGACUGUCUGAUGAGAAGUUGUGUUGUGUGCAAAAUGCGGGUUCAACGAAAAGAGGCAUAUAUCAAAAUCAAACGUUGAAGAAAGGGG
RNAcentral lists this small RNA (351 nucleotides) under Histoplasma capsulatum. RNAcentral describes it as "hypothetical RNA". Lineage: Eukaryota; Fungi; Ascomycota; Eurotiomycetes; Onygenales; Ajellomycetaceae. The record is from RNAcentral. RNAcentral also lists the same sequence under 1 other name.